Molecule: ribosomal RNA, 2016 nt
Filed under: Corynebacterium striatum
Lineage: Bacteria; Bacillati; Actinomycetota; Actinomycetes; Mycobacteriales; Corynebacteriaceae
Description: partial 23S ribosomal RNA
Rfam family: Bacterial large subunit ribosomal RNA
Source: RNAcentral
GGGGAUAAGCUUCAUAGUCGAGAGGGAAACAGCCCAGAUCGCCGGUUAAGGCCCCUAAGGGUGUGCUAAGUGGAAAAGGAUGUGGGAUCGCGAAGACAGCCAGGAGGUUGGCUUAGAAGCAGCCAUCCUUGAAAGAGUGCGUAAUAGCUCACUGGUCGAGUGGUUCUGCGCCGACAAUGUAGUGGGGCUCAAGCACACCGCCGAAGCCGCGGCAAUAAUAUUUUGUUAUUGGGUAGGGGAGCGUCGUGCAUGUGUUGAAGCGUUACCGUGAGGAGGCGUGGAGUGUGUGCGAGUGAGAAUGCAGGCAUGAGUAACGAAUUGGAAGGUGAGAAUCCUUCCCGCCGGAUGACUAAGGGUUCCUGGGUCAAGUUCGUCUUCCCAGGGUGAGUCGGGACCUAAGGCGAGGCCGACAGGCGUAGUCGAUGGAUAACCAGUUGAUAUUCUGGUACCCGAGUAUAUGCGCCCCUGAUAAAGCACUGAUACUAACCACCGUGCGUUACUGUGAUUAGCCUUCGGGUUAACAUGGUGGCAAGCCGUGGGGCCUGAUGUGUGGUUCAAGCGAUGGGGUGACACAGUGGGGUAGCCAUGCCGCUUAGUGGAUUGUUGGUGUAAGCGUGUAGGUGAUGGUGUAGGUAAAUCCGCACUUGUUAUGCUGAGACGUGAUGCGUAGCCUUAAUUGGUGAAGUUGGUGAUCCCGUACUGUCGAGAAAAGCCUCUAGCGAUGUAUAUACUCGGCCCGUACCCCAAACCGACACAGGUAGUCAGGUUGAAAAUACUAAGGCGUUCGGGUGAACUGUGGUUAAGGAACUCGGCAAAAUGCCCCCGUAACUUCGGGAGAAGGGGGACCCUAUGGCGUGAACACCCAUUUGCGGUGGGAAGCGUUGUGGGGUCGCAGAGAAUAGAGGGAAGCGACUGUUUAUCAAAAACACAGGUCCAUGCGAAGACGUUAAGUUGAUGUAUAUGGACUGACGCCUGCCCGGUGCUGGAAGGUUAAGAGGACCGGUUAAUCAAGCUUUGCUUGGUGAAGCUGAGAAUUUAAGCCCCAGUAAACGGCGGUGGUAACUAUAACCAUCCUAAGGUAGCGAAAUUCCUUGUCGGGUAAGUUCCGACCUGCACGAAUGGCGUAACGACUUCCCUGCUGUCUCAACCACAGGCCCGGUGAAAUUGCACUACGAGUAAAGAUGCUCGUUACGCGCGGCAGGACGAAAAGACCCCGGGACCUUCACUAUAGCUUGGUAUUGGUGUUCGGUUCGGUUUGUGUAGGAUAGGUGGGAGACUAUGAGGCGUGUGCGCCAGCACGCGUGGAGUCGUUGUUGAAAUACCACUCUGAUCGGAUUGGAUACCUUAACCUUGGCCCAUGAUCUGGGUUGGGGACAGUGCCUGGUGGGUAGUUUAACUGGGGCGGUUGCCUCCCAAAAUGUAACGGAGGCGCCCAAAGGUUCCCUCAGCCUGGUUGGCAAUCAGGUGGUGAGUGUAAGUGCACAAGGGAGCUUGACUGUGAGAGUGACAGCUCGAACAGGGACGAAAGUCGGGACUAGUGAUCCGGCACCUACUUGUGGAUGUGGUGUCGCUCAACGGAUAAAAGGUACCCCGGGGAUAACAGGCUGAUCUUCCCCAAGAGUCCAUAUCGACGGGAUGGUUUGGCACCUCGAUGUCGGCUCGUCGCAUCCUGGGGCUGGAGUAGGUCCCAAGGGUUGGGCUGUUCGCCCAUUAAAGCGGCACGCGAGCUGGGUUCAGAACGUCGUGAGACAGUUCGGUCUCUAUCCGCCGCGCGCGUUGAAACUUGAAGAAGGCUGUCCCUAGUACGAGAGGACCGGGACGGACGUACCUCUAGUGUGCCAGUUGUUCCGCCAGGAGCAUCGCUGGUUGGCUACGUACGGAAGGGAUAACCGCUGAAAGCAUCUAAGCGGGAAGCCUGUUUUAAGAUGAGGUUUCAUUUGAGGUCCCCUAAAGACUAUGGGGUUGAUAGGCCAGACAUGGAAGCACCGCAAGGUGUGGAGUCUACUGGUACUAAUA